Molecule: long non-coding RNA, 2364 nt
Filed under: Canis lupus familiaris (dog)
Lineage: Eukaryota; Metazoa; Chordata; Mammalia; Carnivora; Canidae
Description: lncRNA (ENSCAFG00845019964.1)
Source: RNAcentral
UUUUUUUUUUUUUUUUUUAAAAAACACCUCUUUAAGAGGUUCAGGGGCGGGAGGAGGCGGAGCUGGUUGUGACACUGACCGGCACCUGCUGCUGAUUUGUGAGUGGCGGCCCCCCAUGGCAGCUCCCCUCGUCCUCUGUCACGCGGCCUUACCUAGACUCGCUUUGCCAAACUUUUGCCUUAAGCUAAAUUUAAAGGAAAAAAGCCCAAAACAGACAAAGAAAGCAGGAUCUCUUUUCUACCAGACUGUUUAUUUUCGGCUACAGGUGAAGGGGGGGGGGCAGGGCCAGGGAGCAGAGAGGCACCUGUGCCCUGCUCCCAGGUGUCCUGGCAGAGGGGCAGGGGGACAGAUUUAGACCUAAAACCAGCUACUUGUUCUUUUAUUUCUGCUGAAACCGAGACUGACCAUCUGCAGAGCCCCUUCUCUCAGGCUCUGGUGGGAACCCCCCACCCCACCAUACCUGCAGAGGUACCUGUGCGCUCUGUUGGGGUAGACCUGCUGGGGCUGCUUCUCUGGUCUCUCUUCUGUCAGCCUUAACUUGCCUGGGGUAAAUCUGGGAGGAGAGAGGGAGGGUUGAGCCUCAGUGGUUCUCGCCAUCUCAGUCCUCAGCACCCAGCCACGGAUGCGUCCGUCGGCACAUCUAAGUGUUUUAUAGCUUUUCCUUUUCUGUCCACACUGGCCCCAAAUGCCUGGAGGGCCAGCCACCUUGAGCCAGAUUUAGUCUGAAGGUAAGGAAGGCAGGCAACUUUCCUACUGGCUCCUUCUCAGGGGAUGCCCCUCCCAGGUACUCUGGGAGAAGCUGCAGACAGGUUCUGGGCACCAGUGUUGGAGGUGGGGGGAAGCUGCCCAGGGGGGCACCCAGGAUAGGCGGUCCUGGAUCUGGGGAGAGGCCAGAAAGGCCAUCACAGGUGCCCCACUGUGAAGCAGACCAGGGAGUUGGCGGGGGUUACAUGGGGACAUAGUUGACAGGCAUUGGGGCCGCUCCAGAGGCUGGUCGACAGCGUGGCUAGUCCAGAGGGCCACUAUCCCUCGGUUCCAGGGCCCUGCAGAGCCCUAGGAUGGUCCUGAGCGACACUAAGCUUUCUUAGUAAUGUCUGCCUUGAUGCCUGCUUGCAGAUGGGGGUUACCCCACGGAAGCCCCCUUCCUCAAACCUGCUGAACCCCACAGCUACUUUACCCCGCCCUGCAUUUGAACUAAUAAUACCCAAGUACAGAAAAUCAUCAGAAAAGAAAAAUAAUUCAUUUCUGCUGCAGAUGAGCCACUUGUAGGAGUCCCAGUGACAACGUGGGAGGACGUGGGUCACCUUGAUCUGCUCCUUUAACCACGUGGCAUUGUAACUUAGUCAAGGGGUGCUUAACGUCCCAUCUGUCUCCCAGCCCUGCUCCUGAUAGCAGGUCCACAGCUAUCUUGGAACAACCAGAUCAGAAACAUGUCUGUGUCGCCCGUGUGCUGCAUGGGGAACCCCUUUGUCAGGCCCAAGAUUUUCCCCUGGAAACUGCCCGUUCCCCUUGGUGUGUACGGAGACCCCGUCACCCAGAGAGGCCAUAGCCUCAAGUGAGGGGGGAUGAUGGGUCCCAGCUCUACCUCCCAAGGAAGGGCCUGGGAGGGGCUAGGCUGCCGGCGUCCUGCUGCUGUGGACAGGACCUGGCCUCCUAAUGGAGCGGCCCUUCUCUGCACUCAGGUCUUUCUUGCACUAAAAAAAGGAGGAAGGGCCCUGGGUGAGGGGUCGGAGGCUGGAGUUCAGGUUCUGGGCGGGGUCAUCACUAAGGGGUUCUUACUGCCCUAGGGGUGGGAGCAGGAGAGGACAGUAACGAGUGGUCCUGAGCUGUUGUGGGCAGAGUCCCCCAAACACGUACCUGCUGAGUGUGAGCAAGCCCUCUUGCCAGGGACCAGUGCUAUGCCCACUAGGAGGGGGCAAAGCUACUCUGGCUGCCUCCCCCCGCCUACUGCAUGCCUGGGCCCCAGCUCACCUUGCUCCUUGACUCAUCCCGCCCCUCCUGCACCCCUUUCUCUCUGACCCUCCUGGCCCUUCUGGAGACAGGGCUGGAAAGGCCCUGGAGAGGCCGCAGGUCUGGCCCAGGACACUGGGCUUAGCCUGGGUCUGGCCCCUGGGCCUCCUCCCUGUCAGGAGCACAGACCCUGGGCUUCUCACCUGGGUCCCCAAUCCCCUGGUGUCCCUCUCCCCUGGUGUGGACACACUCCUCCAGCAAUAAGGACUAUCCGUGGUCAUGGAGAGUACUGUGAAAACAAACCAAUGCACUUACCAGGAGGCACAAGACUCUUGAAGAAUAUGUAAAGUUAAAUUUUUUAAAAAAAGAAACAACAAAUCUUCACAAAGAGAAAUAAAAUGUAAUUUUAAAGUA